AUACGGAGGAUCCGAGCGUUAUCCGGAUUUAUUGGGUUUAAAGGGUGCGCAGGCGGCCAUUUAAGUCAGCGGUUAAAUCGUGGGGCUCAACCCCAUUCUGCCGUUGAUACUGGGUGGCUUGAUUGCGGUCGAGGUUGGCGGAAUUCGUUGUGUAGCGGGGAAAUGCAUAGAUAUGACGAAGAACACCGAUUGCGUAGGCAGCUGACCAGAUCGCAAAUGACGCUCAUGCACGAAAGUGCGGGGAUCGAACAGGAUUAGAUACCCUGGUAGUCCGCACAGUAAACGAUGAAUACUUGUUUUCGGCGAUAUAAUGUCGGAGGCAAAGCGAAAGCGAUAAGUAUUCCACCUGGGGAGUACGCCGGCAACGGUGAAACUUAAAGGAAUUGACGGGG
RNAcentral lists this ribosomal RNA (392 nucleotides) under uncultured bacterium. Its description in RNAcentral is "partial 16S ribosomal RNA". It matches the Rfam family "Bacterial small subunit ribosomal RNA", at positions 523 to 918 of the family's 1533-position model. The record is from RNAcentral.